UACGGGGGGGGCAAGCGUUGUUCGGAAUUACUGGGCGUAAAGGGCUCGUAGGCGGCCAACUAAGUCAGACGUGAAAUCCCUCGGCUUAACCGGGGAACUGCAUCUGAUACUGGAUGGCUUGAGAUUGGGAGAGGGAUGCGGAAUUCCAGGUGUAGCGGUGAAAUGCGUAGAUAUCUGGAGGAACACCGGUGGCGAAGGCGACAUCCUGGACCAACACUGACGCUGAGGAGCGAAAGCCAGGGGAGCAAACGGG
RNAcentral lists this ribosomal RNA (253 nucleotides) under uncultured bacterium. Its description in RNAcentral is "partial 16S ribosomal RNA". It matches the Rfam family "Bacterial small subunit ribosomal RNA", at positions 524 to 776 of the family's 1533-position model. The record is from RNAcentral.